RNAcentral lists this ribosomal RNA (253 nucleotides) under uncultured bacterium. Its description in RNAcentral is "partial 16S ribosomal RNA". It matches the Rfam family "Bacterial small subunit ribosomal RNA", at positions 524 to 776 of the family's 1533-position model. The record is from RNAcentral.
UACGGAGGGCGCAAGCGUUAAUCGGAAUCACUGGGCGUAAAGCGCGCGUAGGCUGUUUGAUAAGUCAGACGUGAAAUCCCUCGGCUCAACCGGGGAACUGCGUUUGAUACUGUCGAACUCGAGUCCUGGAGAGGGUGGCGGAAUUCCUGGUGUAGGAGUGAAAUCCGUAGAUAUCAGGAGGAACACCGGUGGCGAAGGCGGCCACCUGGACAGGUACUGACGCUGAGGCGCGAAAGCGUGGGGAGCAAACAGG